This 253-nucleotide ribosomal RNA is filed under the name uncultured bacterium. RNAcentral describes it as "partial 16S ribosomal RNA". It matches the Rfam family "Bacterial small subunit ribosomal RNA", at positions 524 to 776 of the family's 1533-position model. The record is from RNAcentral.
UACGUAGGGUGCGAGCGUUAAUCGGAAUUACUGGGCGUAAAGCGUGCGCAGGCGGUUCGCCAAGUCAGGUGUGAAAUCCCCGGGCUUAACCUGGGAACUGCAUUUGUGACUGCACGGCUAGAGUGUGUCAGAGGGGGGUAGAAUUCCACGUGUAGCAGUGAAAUGCGUAGAGAUGUGGAGGAAUACCGAUGGCGAAGGCAGCCCCCUGGGAUAACACUGACGCUCAUGCACGAAAGCGUGGGGAGCAAACAGG